Neurospora crassa OR74A is the source of this 155-nucleotide transfer RNA. It matches the Rfam family "tRNA". Rfam says of the family: Transfer RNA (tRNA) molecules are approximately 80 nucleotides in length. The record is from Rfam. Lineage: Eukaryota; Fungi; Ascomycota; Sordariomycetes; Sordariales; Sordariaceae.
GCCUGGUUGGCGUAGUGGUAUAACGCGUGCACUUCAGAACUUUGUGCUGAGGGCUUGGCACCCCCGAGGACGCAUGUUCGAACGAGGGGCGGUCUGGCAAACCGCAGUACAAACCAAUGUGGUGCAAAACCUGGGUUCGAAUCCCAGACCGGGCA